RNAcentral lists this ribosomal RNA (843 nucleotides) under uncultured bacterium. RNAcentral's name for it is "bacterial SSU rRNA". It matches the Rfam family "Bacterial small subunit ribosomal RNA", at positions 8 to 839 of the family's 1533-position model. The record is from RNAcentral.
AGAGUUUGAUCCUUGGCUCAGGAUGAACGCUAGCUACAGGCUUAACACAUGCAAGUCGCGGGGUAACAUCUGGGAGAGCUUGCUCUUCCAGGAUGACGACCGGCGCACGGGUGAGUAACGCGUAUCCAACCUGGCCCAUACCACGGGAUAGCCCGUCGAAAGGCGGAUUAAUACCGUAUGCUGUCAUUAAGAUGCAUAUAUUGAUGACGAAAGGACUGGCGGUAUGGGAUGGGGAUGCGUCUGAUUAGCUUGUUGGCGGGGUCACGGCCCACCAAGGAUGACGAUCAGUAGGGGUUCUGAGAGGAAGGUCCCCCACAUUGGAACUGAGACACGGUCCAAACUCCUACGGGAGGCAGCAGUGAGGAAUAUUGGUCAAUGGGCGCAAGCCUGAACCAGCCAAGUAGCGUGAGGGAAGACUGCCCUACGGGUUGUAUACCUCUUUUGUUUGGGAAUAAAGUGCGGGACGCGUCCCGCAUUGCAUGUACCAUUUGAAUAAGGACCGGCUAAUUCCGUGCCAGCAGCCGCGGUAAUACGGAAGGUCCGGGCGUUAUCCGGAUUUAUUGGGUUUAAAGGGAGCGCAGGCCGUGGGUUAAGCGUGUCGUGAAAUUCCGUCGCUCAACGGCGGACGUGCGGCGCGAACUGGUCCACUUGAGUACGCGGGACGUUGGCGGAAUUCGUGGUGGAGCGGUGAAAUGCUUAGAUAUCACGAAGAACUCCGAUUGCGAAGGCAGCUGACGGUAGCGCAACUGACGCUGAGGCUCGAAAGUGCGGGUAUCGAACAGGAUUAGAUACCCUGGUAGUCCGCACGGUAAACGAUGGAUGCCCGCUAUUCGCCCACCUGGG